RNAcentral lists this ribosomal RNA (430 nucleotides) under Pseudomonadota bacterium. RNAcentral describes it as "Proteobacteria bacterium partial 16S ribosomal RNA". It matches the Rfam family "Bacterial small subunit ribosomal RNA", at positions 355 to 776 of the family's 1533-position model. Lineage: Bacteria; Pseudomonadati; Pseudomonadota. The record is from RNAcentral.
UGGGGAAUAUUGGACAAUGGGGGGAACCCUGAUCCAGCCAUGCCGCGUGUGUGAAGAAGGCCUUAGGGUUGUAAAGCACUUUAAGCGAGGAGGAGGGUACUGGUAUUAAUACUACCAGGUACUGGACGUUACUCGCAGAAUAAGCACCGGCUAACUCUGUGCCAGCAGCCGAGGUAAUACAGAGGGUGCAAGCGUUAAUCGGAAUUACUGGGCGUAAAGCGCGCGUAGGUGGUUCGUUAAGUUGAAUGUGAAAGCCCCGGGCUCAACCUGGGAAAUGCAUCCAAAACUGGCGAGCUAGAGUAGGGCAGGGGGUGGUGGAAUUUCCUGUGUAACCGUGAAAUGCGUAGAUAUAGGAAGGAACAACAGUGGCGAAGGCGACCACCUGGGCUCAUACUGACACUGAGGUGCGAAAGCGUGGGGAGCAAACAGG